GGAAAGGAGAGGAGGUGAGGGAGGAAAGGAGAGGAGGUGAGGGAGGAAAGGAGAGGAGGUGAGGGAGGAAAGGAGAGGAGGUGAGGGAGGAAAGGAGAGGAGGUGAGGAAGGAAAGGAGAGGAGGUGAGGGAGGAAAGGAGAGGAGGUGAGGAAGGAAAGGAGAGGAGGUGAGGGAGGAAAGGAGAGGAGGUGAGGGAGGAAAGGAGAGGAGGUGAGGAAGGAAAGGAGGAUAGCAGUGGAGGUGAGGGAGAGGAGAUUGGGAGAGAAGGAGGGCAAGGGGUAGGUGUCAGAUACAAUUCAAACUAAAUGAUAUUACACAUCACAUGGUGCUCGUAUACACGAUGUGGUCCGAUGAAUACAGGCUGUUUAAACAGGCAGUCAGUUCUGAUCUUUUGACACUAAUUGGUCUUUUUUGUAUUUUUAUUUUGACCAUGUCGGUGUACCAGGUGGUGUACCUAACACUGUCUGUAGGAGCUGACCAUGUCGGUGUACCAGGUGGUGUACCUAACACUGUCUGUAGGAGCUGACCAUGUGGGUGUACCAGGUGGUGUACCUAACACUGUCUGUAGGAGCUGACCAUGUCGGUGUACCAGGUGGUGUACCUAACACUGUCUGUAGGAGCUGACCAUGUCGGUGUACCAGGUGGUGUACCUAACACUGUCUGUAGGAGCUGACCAUGUGGGUGUACCAGGUGGUGUACCUAACACUGUCUGUAGGAGCUGACCAUGUGGGUGUACCAGGUGGUGUACCUAACACUGUCUGUAGGAGCUGACCAUGUCGGUGUACCAGGUGGUGUACCUAACACUGUCUGUAGGAGCUGACCAUGUGGGUGUACCAGGUGGUGUACCUAACACUGUCUGUAGGAGCUGACCAUGUGGGUGUACCAGGUGGUGUACCUAACACUGUCUGUAGGAGCUGACCAUGUCGGUGUACCAGGUGGUGUACCUAACACUGUCUGUAGGAGCUGACCAUGUCGGUGUACCAGGUGGUGUACCUAACACUGUCUGUAGGAGCUGACCAUGUCGGUGUACCAGGUGGUGUACCUAACACUGUCUGUAGGAGCUGACCAUGUCGGUGUACCAGGUGGUGUACCUAACACUGUCUGUAGGAGCUGACCAUGUCGGUGUACCAGGUGGUGUACCUAACACUGUCUGUAUA
Oncorhynchus keta (chum salmon) is the source of this 1159-nucleotide long non-coding RNA. RefSeq lists it as uncharacterized. The transcript is spliced from 3 exons. The record is from RefSeq and is a predicted model, not a curated record. Lineage: Eukaryota; Metazoa; Chordata; Actinopteri; Salmoniformes; Salmonidae.